UGAAGCGGCAACAGCUCAAAUUUGAAAUCUGGUCCCCAGGGCCCGAGUUGUAAUUUGUAGAGGAUGCUUUUGGCAAGGUGCCUUCCGAGUUCCCUGGAACGGGACGCCAUAGAGGGUGAGAGCCCCGUCUGGUCGGAUACCGCGCCUCUGUAAAGCUCCUUCGACGAGUCGAGUAGUUUGGGAAUGCUGCUCAAAAUGGGAGGUAUAUGUCUUCUAAAGCUAAAUAUUGGCCAGAGACCGAUAGCGCACAAGUAGAGUGAUCGAAAGAUGAAAAGCACUUUGAAAAGAGGGUUAAAAAGUACGUGAAAUUGUUGAAAGGGAAGCGCCUAUGACCAGACUUGGGCCCGGUGAAUCAUCCAGCGUUCUCGCUGGUGCACUUUGCCGGGCACAGGCCAGCAUCAGUUUGGCGCGGGGGAUAAAGGCUUUGGGAAUGUGGCUCCCUCGGGAGUGUUAUAGCCCAUUGUGUAAUACCCUGCGCCGGACUGAGGUACGCGCAUUUGCAAGGAUGCUGGCGUAAUGGUCAUCAGCGACCCGUCUUGAAACACGGACCAAGGAGUCGUCUUCGUAUGCGAGUGUUCGGGUGUCAAACCCCUACGCGUAAUGAAAGUGAACGCAGGUGAGAGCUUCGGCGCAUCAUCGACCGAUCCUGAUGUUCUCGGAUGGAUUUGAGUAAGAGCAUACGGGGCCGGACCCGAAAGAAGGUGAACUAUGCCUGUAUAGGGUGAAGCCAGAGGAAACUCUGGUGGAGGCUCGCAGCGGUUCUGACGUGCGAAUCGAUCGUCAAAUAUGGGCAUGGGGGCGAAAGACUAAUCGAACCUUCUAGUAGCUGGUUUCCGCCGAAGUUUCCCUCAGGAUAGCAGUGUUGAACUCAGUUUUAUGAGGUAAAGCGAAUGAUUAGGGACUCGGGGGCGCUAUAUUGCCUUCAUCCAUUCUCAAACUUUAAAUAUGUAAGAAGCUCUUGUUACUUAAUUGAACGUGAGCAUCGAAUGUAUCAACACUAGUGGGCCAUUUUUGGUAAGCAGAACUGGCGAUGCGGGAUGAACCGAACGCGAGGUUAAGGUGCCGGAGUGGACGCUCAUCAGACACCACAAAAGGUGUUAGUACAUCUUGACAGCAGGACGGUGGCCAUGGAAGUCGGAAUCCGCUAAGGACUGUGUAACAACUCACCUGCCGAAUGUACUAGCCCUGAAAAUGGAUGGCGCUCAAGCGUCCCACCCAUACCUCGCCCUCAGGGUAGAAACGAAGCCCUGAGGAGUAGGCGGACGUGGAGGUCAGUGACGAAGCC
RNAcentral lists this ribosomal RNA (1285 nucleotides) under Lecanicillium fusisporum. RNAcentral describes it as "LSU rRNA". It matches the Rfam family "Eukaryotic large subunit ribosomal RNA", at positions 94 to 1410 of the family's 3401-position model. The record is from RNAcentral. Lineage: Eukaryota; Fungi; Ascomycota; Sordariomycetes; Hypocreales; Cordycipitaceae.